Molecule: ribosomal RNA, 215 nt
Filed under: Glomeromycotina sp.
Lineage: Eukaryota; Fungi; Glomeromycota
Description: partial small subunit ribosomal RNA
Source: RNAcentral
GGGUCAGUAGGUUGGUCGUGCCACCGGUACGUACUGGUCUCACUGAUUCCUCCUUCCUGAAGAACCGUAAUGCCAUUAAUUUGGUGUUGCGGGGAAACAGGACUGUUACUUUGAAAAAUUAGAGUGUUUAAAGCAAGCUAACGCUUGAAUACAUUGGCAUGGAAUAAUGAAAUAGGACGAUCGAUCCUAUUUUGUUGGUUUCUAGGAUUGACGUA